UGAACGCUGGCGGCGUGCCUAAUACAUGCACGUCGAGCGAACAGAUGAGGAGCUUGCUCCUCUGACGUUAGCGGCGGACGGGUGAGUAACACGUGGAUAACCUACCUAUAAGACUGGGAUAACUUCGGGAAACCGGAGCUAAUACCGGAUAAUAUAUUGAACCGCAUGGUUCACUAGUGAAAGACGGUUUUGCUGUCACUUAUAGAUGGAUCCGCGCCGCAUUAGCUAGUUGGUAAGGUAACGGCUUACCAAGGCAACGAUGCGUAGCCGACCUGAGAGGGUGAUCGGCCACACUGGAACUGAGACACGGUCCAGACUCCUACGGGAGGCAGCAGUAGGGAAUCUUCCGCAAUGGGCGAAAGCCUGACGGAGCAACGCCGCGUGAGUGAUGAAGGUCUUCGGAUCGUAAAACUCUGUUAUUAGGGAAGAACAAAUGUGUAAGUAACUAUGCACGUCUUGACGGUACCUAAUCAGAAAGCCACGGCUAACUACGUG
Molecule: ribosomal RNA, 495 nt
Filed under: uncultured bacterium
Lineage: Bacteria
Description: partial 16S ribosomal RNA
Rfam family: Bacterial small subunit ribosomal RNA
Source: RNAcentral